AGCUUUGCGCAGUGGCAGUAUCGUAGCCAAUGAGGUUUAUCUGAGUCACGGUUAUUGCUAAUUGAAAGAUUUUCUGAGAUGCCUGCAUCUCCUAAUAGAGCUACUGGGUUCUAGGCCUGGCUUUGCUCCCUAUGCCA
Ochotona princeps (American pika) is the source of this 137-nucleotide small nuclear RNA. Its record names the gene U4. It matches the Rfam family "U4 spliceosomal RNA". Rfam says of the family: U4 small nuclear RNA (U4 snRNA) is a component of the major U2-dependent spliceosome. NCBI's taxonomy places the organism in Eukaryota, Metazoa, Chordata, Mammalia, Lagomorpha, Ochotonidae. The record is from Ensembl.